This 2808-nucleotide long non-coding RNA is filed under the name Nicotiana benthamiana. Its description in RNAcentral is "long non-coding RNA (NBEN_LNC013901)". Lineage: Eukaryota; Viridiplantae; Streptophyta; Magnoliopsida; Solanales; Solanaceae. The record is from RNAcentral.
CCACCUUUUAUUAAAAUACUUUCUCCCUCAUUUUAACACACUUCUGAAAAAACUAAGAGAGAUGGGAGAGAGGGUUGUUGAGAGAGAAAGUAAAUUCUUCAUCAUCUAGUCUUUAAAAAUCAUUGGAGCUUGGGAAAUUCUUGGUGCAUUGUCUUCUCUAUUGAUUUCUCAGGUAAAAUACCUAACCCAUUUCCCCCAUAUUUCAAAAUUAAGCUUGGGAAGGGAACCCCAUAGACUUGCUUUGAAAUUUCUUCAUUAAAUCUUCAUGCAUGUCUUUAAAACCCUAAAAUCUUGUAAAAAGGGGAUUGGGUAAAGACUAUGAGUUUAAAUUUCUAAAACCUAAGUGUUGUUCAUGAACUAGAUUGACUUCUUGAUUUUUUGGAUUGGGCUAAUGUUUUAAAUGGAAUAAAUCAACCCCAGGUAUGUAUGGAUAAUUGUGAUCCUUGUGAAAUUGCCCUGUGCUAGUUGUGAAAUUGCUGAUAGUUGAUAUUAAUGUGAAGCUUUUGUGUUGUAUAAUUGUGUGGUAACACUUUGUGGUGAAAGUUGAGGAACAUGUAAUUGGAACAAUGGAAUCAAUGUGGAACAAUGGAAAUGGAAAUAAUGUGGAACAAUGGAAAUGAAAACAAUGUAGAACAAUGGAAACAGGAAUAAUGUGGAAUAGUGUAAAUGGAAAUAUUGUGGAACAACGUGUUCGAUUAGUUUUGAAUGACUGUUGUGAUGGUAUCAAUGGUGUACCAAUUUGAUGAACACGAGGAAUUGUUGUUUCUAGUUGUGGAAUUGCACUACCCUUGUUAUGGAUCUAUAUUAACAAUGUGCUAUAGUUGAUUUCUUGUAUUUGUUAUUGUGCUAUUUGUUGUUGUCAAUUAAAAAACUGUCAGGCGGCGUAGGGUUGCAUGCCGCAACACGGUGAAAUAAGGUGUAUGUUUGGGUGAUAAGGUUAGCCGAGGUAAUAAAGGUGGAUGAGGAUAUAAGGGUGGAUAAUGUGAUCCAAUAUCACUAUUGAUAUGAAUAUGAAUAGUGAAAUGAUAAAUGCGAAAACAAUAGGUUCCAUCAAAACCUUAGACAAGGAAUUUAGCUACUCAUGGGUAUGGCUAAAAAAGAAAAAAUAAUAUUCAUCAUAUACUACCAAUAAAAUGCAAAAGAAAAGAAGAAAUAUGGUUUGGGUAUUCCCUCACAAUGUUUUUCCUUCAAAGAACUCUAAAAACUUAAUACAUGCCUCCUUUGAGCGAAGUCUAGUAUUUAGAAUACGUUAUAGGCUAAAUUACUGUGUUGACACUUUCGUCCCACAAGUUUACUAUGCCUACCGUGGUUCUGCCACAGUCGCAGUAGAACUGCGACCAAACAUCCCCUCUGAUACUCUUCUUGUUCGCGAUAGCAUCUCACCGCGGUUCUGCCGCGGUCGCGGUGGAACAACGACAGAACAGUUUCUCUAAUUCUUGAGCCUGUUUUUGGCGUGGUUCACUUAGGACUUUUCCCGAUUGGCCUCUUUUUCUUCAUUUUUGACUCCAAAAGUACUCCCGAACCUUCCCUAGUCAUAUAUAACCUGCAAAUCAUGAAAAGCACUCGUAAGAGCAUUUGGUUAUCACUUUUAUUACCAAAACUAUGCAAGAAAGUGAUUAUUUAGGGCCUGAAGAUAGUUAAAGUCACAUAUUAUUAUGCCCAUAUAAGUAUUUAUAUUAACCAAACUGCACACCAUCAAAUAUAUAGUAUUGUUAAGCAAAUCGGUUCCACUGGCUACGAUUGUGAACAAAUAUUGGAAAAGAUAGUUAAAUUCACAUAUUAUUAGGCCCAUUUAAGUAUUUAUAUUAACCAAGCUGCACACCAUCAAAUAUAUAGUAUAGUUAAGCAAAUCGGUUCCACUAGCUAAGAUUGUCAACAAAUAUUGAAAUAAAAAGGACAGAUCGGUGCACUGAGCAUUAUCCUAUAUUUAUGAAGAAAAUAGUUUUUACAGUUCAAAUUCUAAUCUCUUGAUUACAUAACACCAACUUUGCUCAUUAUGCCAUUUCCCCUUCCCAAAAGAAAUUAAAAUAAAGGUUGAAAAAUAGUUGUUGGCGACUAAUAAAUCCUUUCUAAAAAAGGUCAUAAUAAAAGAGGUACUUCCUUCUAUUUGUUGGAACAGGAUAGCAACAAAUACAUUGAUCUAAUUCGUCAGAAAAGAAAGAAUCUCACGUGAUACUGGUUCUAUGUCUCUGAUCAACUCUUCACAGAAUUGUAUUAUUGUUUACGUUAUCUAAUCAAUCAAAGACUAAAGAUGAUACAAUGUAAAAAAAUCAGUUUAUAUGGUUGGUUUGGGAAAUUACAUCUAUAACUAAACUCAUACUCGAGCAGUUAAUAUUCUUGUUCUUAAAAGAAUAGACGUAGGCCUAAAAUUUAAUACCUUACACUUGAAAGAUACAAAUUUCAAAUUCUCUUUCUGUUUUCUAUUUACUUAUCAUAAGCUGGAUUUGCCUUCAUAAAAUCUUUUGCUCCUAGAUAACUUUUAUUAACUCAUUAAUAUUAAGUACUUUUCUCUUCAACUUCAAUUCAAAUACUUUCUAAUAUUUACUUAAGUUGAAACAUUUGGGAAGAAGUAGAAGUGCAUUAAAAUUAUAAGCAUAAUAAACCUUCCUUCCUUGUUAGAGAUUAUCCAAAAUGAGAAAACUGAGAGGACAUGAUAGACACCAAUAUCUAACUCGUCCUUUAGGACUGAUAUGCAUAACUCCAUGCCAAAUUCCCACAUCUUUGUCGUCCCAGCCAAAUGACAGUGACACUUGUGCUUGCCAAUACUCAUUUAGCAAUCGCAAAAGGGGCUAGAAUAUUAGGUACGAG